This is a long non-coding RNA of Lycium ferocissimum, 1416 nucleotides long. RefSeq lists it as uncharacterized. The record is from RefSeq and is a predicted model, not a curated record. NCBI's taxonomy places the organism in Eukaryota, Viridiplantae, Streptophyta, Magnoliopsida, Solanales, Solanaceae. The transcript is spliced from 2 exons.
UGCUACCUUCUUUGACGUAAUUGGCUUGGCUUCCAAAAUUUAAGGGUGUUGAAAACUGAAUAAAGAACAGCGGGUUGUUUCAUCGUUUUGAAGUCCGUUGUGUGCUAAGUAUAUUUUCUCUAGCUUGUGGUUCUAAUGAUUGACUAGUAAACGAGUUCUAUGAGAGUGUCUGCUUGUCCUCUUCAUCCAUUCAUGAAGUUAAAAUAUGUGCGAAUCUAUUGAUGGUUUCUUAUUUCUCUUCUGUGACCUUUCUAAAAAUAAAAAAUAAAAAAAAUUAUUAACAAAGUGUAAGACGGAUAAAUUAUUAUGUACUACCUGAGUUUGUUUUCUCUUUAUGCCCGGAUAACAAGGUUUCCUAGGCGUUCUAAUGACGCUAAAAAUCUGAAAGGAAUUAAAGAGAGUGAUAGUUUGUUUCAACAUGAUUUUUGCAUAGUCUGUCUGUCGGUAUUGUAGGGUUCGUUUUGAACUUUGACGUAAUUCAUUUGCGAUUUUGUAAUCUUGUUAUUCCGAACGAGCUGUGCUUACUCAAAGGGAGGUCUCAUUUGUUUGUGUACUCGAAAGCACUAAAAAAAAAAGGAGGGAAAAACAUUUCCCAAGCAAAGUAAGGUUAGUCCAGAAAACAAUUGAGGCAAAACAGAGAGUUAUGGGAUUUUCUUUGUAAGGGUGGUUGCUCCUCUCUGUUUACCCUAUGUUUGUUCAAAAAAAAAAAAAAAGGGGGAUCAUAAAUCAAAAACCCUUGGAUUCGCAUUGAUUUUCUUACAAAUUAAUGAAUCAUAUGACCAUGGAAAACGUACUACUAUAUUCCUCAACAACUACUCCAUAUGCUGUUUUUUUUUUUUUUUACCGUCUCUGUUUCUUUGUUUGUUUUUCUCUUUCUUGAUUCAUGAUAAUAAUAGAGGCAGUGAUGGUAGAUGAUAAUAGAGUAAUAUUUGUUUGACUGUAUAUUUUCAUGUAUAGAGCCUUGUGAAUAUAAAGUAUGCCUCCUAUAAGCUAUGUAUGUAUUUGGAGUUUGAGCUAAUCUAGAGAUAGAUUCCUGGGAAGACCAUUUAAAUAAUUUAAUAGGUCCAUUUUCUUGUUCACUUUAUUUCUUCUUGAUUGAGAAUGGUUACUAAUCCUUUUUUUUUUUUUUUUUUUUACAUGAACAACAUGGGAGUUUGUUGGAGUUGUGGCUCAACUCUAAUUCUGCCCAGGUCAUAGGAGCAGUCAGCAGCAGAUUUAUUUGCUCGUGUCUAGCCGUCCCCCUACUUCCACGUCUCGAGUCCCCGUCCUUCUUCCUUAUUCCAAACUUCAAGCCUCCAUAUUAUUUGAUACAUGCUAUUUAUAUUAUUUGACUAACACUCUUGUGAAUUUGUGAUUUUUGUAGUUUUGUUUUGAACGCGUAACUUGACUUAAGUAUAUUAGUAAGUUUGGUCAUUA